UACGAAGGGGGCUAGCGUUGCUCGGAAUCACUGGGCGUAAAGCGCACGUAGGCGGCUUACUAAGUCAGGGGUGAAAUCCUGGAGCUCAACUCCAGAACUGCCUUUGAUACUGGCGAUCUUGAGUCCGGGAGAGGUGAGUGGAACUGCGAGUGUAGAGGUGAAAUUCGUAGAUAUUCGCAAGAACACCAGUGGCGAAGGCGGCUCACUGGCCCGGUACUGACGCUGAGGUGCGAAAGCGUGGGGAGCAAACAGG
RNAcentral lists this ribosomal RNA (253 nucleotides) under uncultured bacterium. RNAcentral's name for it is "partial 16S ribosomal RNA". It matches the Rfam family "Bacterial small subunit ribosomal RNA", at positions 524 to 776 of the family's 1533-position model. The record is from RNAcentral.